Molecule: long non-coding RNA, 384 nt
Organism: Polypterus senegalus (gray bichir)
Lineage: Eukaryota; Metazoa; Chordata; Cladistia; Polypteriformes; Polypteridae
Exons: 3
Source: RefSeq, a predicted model, not a curated record
AUGGUCAUUCAGCAGAACAAAGGAGAUGAAGACCCUAAGUGUCAGACGAAAUGGAGAGCUGCCUUUGAGAUGAUAGUAACAGAUGUGGGAGGAGUUGGAGUCCCCAGAAAGCCCCCAUUUACAAGAGGAAAGUGUGUGAAAUGCACAAGAUGAGGACUGAGGAGGGAAUUCGGCACAGGCCCUGAUGCUCCUCAUUCCUCGCCUCACCCCUGCACUGAAAAAGCUGCUAGAGAACCGGCAGUGAGAGGACAGCCUACAAAUUCACCAGCCAUCAACUAGAAGAUCUGUUUGUCCUGUGCAAUCUGUUGCUCACCCUGCUUCACCUGGGCCAGGGGGUCUUCAUCAUGUAGAUGUUGUGGCGAGCCGUGGCUGUGCAUCAUCUUC